This 253-nucleotide ribosomal RNA is filed under the name uncultured bacterium. RNAcentral's name for it is "partial 16S ribosomal RNA". It matches the Rfam family "Bacterial small subunit ribosomal RNA", at positions 524 to 776 of the family's 1533-position model. The record is from RNAcentral.
UACGUAGGGUCCGAGCGUUGUCCGGAAUUACUGGGCGUAAAGAGCUCGUAGGUGGUUUGUCGCGUUGUCCGUGAAAACUCACAGCUCAACUGUGGGCGUGCGGGCGAUACGGGCAGACUGGAGUACUGCAGGGGAGACUGGAAUUCCUGGUGUAGCGGUGGAAUGCGUAGAUAUCAGGAGGAACACCGGUGGCGAAGGCGGGUCUCUGGGCCGAUAUUGACGCUGAGGAGCGAAAGCGUGGGGAGCAAACAGG